UAAUACCGGAUAAGCCCUUACGGGGAAAGAUUUAUCGCCGAAAGAUCGGCCCGCGUCUGAUUAGCUAGUUGGUGAGGUAAUGGCUCACCAAGGCGACGAUCAGUAGCUGGUCUGAGAGGAUGAUCAGCCACAUUGGGACUGAGACACGGCCCAAACUCCUACGGGAGGCAGCAGUGGGGAAUAUUGGACAAUGGGCGCAAGCCUGAUCCAGCCAUGCCGCGUGAGUGAUGAAGGCCCUAGGGUUGUAAAGCUCUUUUGUGCGGGAAGAUAAUGACGGUACCGCAAGAAUAAGCCCCGGCUAACUUCGUGCCAGCAGCCGCGGUAAUACGAAGGGGGCUAGCGUUGCUCGGAAUCACUGGGCGUAAAGGGUGCGUAGGCGGGUCUUUAAGUCAGGGGUGAAAUCCUGGAGCUCAACUCCAGAACUGCCUUUGAUACUGAAGAUCUU
Molecule: ribosomal RNA, 445 nt
Filed under: Bradyrhizobium sp.
Lineage: Bacteria; Pseudomonadati; Pseudomonadota; Alphaproteobacteria; Hyphomicrobiales; Nitrobacteraceae
Description: bacterial SSU rRNA
Rfam family: Bacterial small subunit ribosomal RNA
Source: RNAcentral